AUAGAAAUAAUACAUGACAUUAAAACAGUUUGAAAGAAGCUUCAGGAAUAAAUAUUUGAAUAAUAAUAUGAACGAGUGUUCCUGACCACAGGGCGAUGCAGAUCUCCUCGGUGCUGGAGCAGAAGGACGACAGCGAGCAGUUGCUGAAGCAGACGCUGUCUCUGCACACCGGAGCCGACGCCUCGCACCACCUGCACAGGUUGAAGCUCAGCAGGACAAAAGUUCCCCCACCAUCAGAGAGCAGAGCCCAGGGAGAGAAGGGGAGAGGAGAGGAGAGGAAGAGAUCGGGGAGAGGAAGAGAUCGGGGAGAGCAGAGGAGAGGAAGAGCCCGGGGAGAGGAGAGGAGAGGAAGAGCCCGGGGAGAGGAGAGGAAGAGCCCGCGGAACAGGCAGUACUCACCGGCCGUCAGGAGGGCGAGGAUCCCGGUCCAAAGCGUCCGGCACCGGGCCAUCAUGAGUGGGCAGAAAUCCGGGUGUUUGUCGGUGAUCUGUGGAGCGUCUGAGCUGUGGAGACAGAGAACAGAUGUUUCUCAUCCAGAUGCAGUUAGCCCCGCCCCCCUGCUGCCUGACACUCACUCACACACACACACACACACACACACACACACACACACACACACACACACACACACACACACACACACACACACACACACACACACACACACACACACACACACACACACACACACAGAGACACACACACACAUACACACUCACACACACACACACACACACACACACACACACACACACACACACACACACACACACUCAUAUCUGUAUUUACAUGAGGAACACGUGACGACUUUAUGAAAUAAAAAGCGUGAUUAAACAUCAA
Eleginops maclovinus (Patagonian blennie) is the source of this 840-nucleotide long non-coding RNA. RefSeq lists it as uncharacterized. The transcript has 2 exons. The record is from RefSeq and is a predicted model, not a curated record. Lineage: Eukaryota; Metazoa; Chordata; Actinopteri; Perciformes; Eleginopidae.